Molecule: non-coding RNA, 546 nt
Organism: Pelobates cultripes (western spadefoot toad)
Lineage: Eukaryota; Metazoa; Chordata; Amphibia; Anura; Pelobatidae
Source: the annotation of a GenBank genome assembly
GUCUGGCCUGCUUGAGAGUCAGGCCCCGCCCCUCAGGCUGCAACUUUUUAAGAGCCCACACCACCACUAGACAUUCUUUCUUGAUGGUGGCAUAGCUCACCUUCCAUGGUAGUAACUUCCUGCUGAGGUAAACUAAUGGAUUUUUUCCGCCACCAUCCCCGACCUGGCUCAGCACGGCUCCCAACCCAAGCAUGGAAGCAUCUAUGUGGAUAAGAAAGCGUUUAGUUGGAUUAGGAGUGGUCAGGAUGGGACUAAGCGGUUCACGAAGACUAUUAAAUUCCUGGAAGGCUUGCUCCUGGGUCCAGUUCACUUGACGAGGUAAAUUUUUUUCAAGUCAGGUCAGUUAGGGGCUUGGCUAGAGCACCGUAGUAUGGGACAAAUCUUCUGUAAUCCCUAGAAAAGCCAUUACCUGGGUUUUUGUAUGGGGAGUGGGCCAGUUAGCUACUGCCUCAAUUUUAGCUGGCUUGGGGUUCUGCUUCCCACAGCCCACCUGGUGCCCUAGGUAUUGGACCUCCACCAUGCCUAUAUGGCACUUACUGGGCUUUA